Long non-coding RNA from Tympanuchus pallidicinctus (lesser prairie-chicken), 427 nucleotides. RefSeq lists it as uncharacterized. The transcript has 3 exons. Lineage: Eukaryota; Metazoa; Chordata; Aves; Galliformes; Phasianidae. The record is from RefSeq and is a predicted model, not a curated record.
UAGUACUGUAGUGGGAGGGCUUUCCUCCCCAGGUGUAACUGUGCAAACAUUAUGGUUACGGCACAAAGUCCAACUUGGUUAGAUUCUGUCACAUAAAUAUACACUGAGUUAAAUCAAACACAGCUUGUGUCCUGUUGGAAAAGCCCAUUUGUAAGCAGUUGUUUGAGAUCUGUAAGAUAACUUGCUGUGUAAAGAUAGCCAGUUCCGCUAAAGGCUGCUCCUGGGAAAGUGGGUGCCUUGUGAAGUUCCACGUUGCUCCAGAUUUCAGAGACAGAUGCUGCUUCGUGUACUCAGGACUUGUUUCAACUUCAGCUAAUUCAGGCACCCUGAAGUCUGAAUUUUGUUAAUAUUACCUAUUCCACGUGCAAUUGGUGAAUGAGGAUCCCAAAAGAUUUCUUGCUGUAUAUCAGUGUCAUUAAUUGGUGAG